Molecule: ribosomal RNA, 508 nt
Filed under: uncultured bacterium
Lineage: Bacteria
Description: bacterial SSU rRNA
Rfam family: Bacterial small subunit ribosomal RNA
Source: RNAcentral
GGCGUACGAGGACGAACGGCUGGGCGGCGGUGGAUUAGGCAUGCAAGUCGGGACGGUAGGGGCUUUAUCGUAAGAUAGAGUUUGAGAGUGGCGAACGGGUGAGUAACACGUAGGAAUCUACCCUUAAGACGGGACAACCCAGGGAAACUUGGGCUAAUACCGGAUGAGAGUGCGAGAGAUUGCAUUUAAAAGGAUGGCGAAAGUUGUCGCUUAGGGAUGAGCCUGCGGUCUAUUAGUUAGUUGGUGAGGUAAGAGCUCACCAAGGCGAUGAUAGAUAGGCGGCCUUAACGGGUGGUCGCCCACACUGGGAUUGAGAUACGGCCCAGACUCCUACGGGAGGCAGCAGUCGAGAAUAGUCUACAAUGGCCGGAAGGCUGAUAGUGCGACGCCGCGUGAACGAGGGAGCCCUUCGGGGUGUAAAGUUCUUUUCUAUACGAGCAGUGCUAUAUAUAUGGAUAGUAUAUAUAGAGGGAUAGUAGUAUAGGAAUAAGCAACGGCUAACUCCGUG